Molecule: long non-coding RNA, 2072 nt
Filed under: Homo sapiens (human)
Lineage: Eukaryota; Metazoa; Chordata; Mammalia; Primates; Hominidae
Description: PREDICTED lncRNA (TCONS_00167715)
Rfam family: U2 spliceosomal RNA (bases 532-721)
Source: RNAcentral
UUUUGACAGCGUCUUGCUCUGUUGCCCAGGCUGGAGUGCAAUGGUGCAAUCUCAGCUCACUGCAACCUCUGCCUCCCAGGUUUAAGCAAUUAUAGGUUUCUCUGGCCCUUCCAACAGCAAGUAUCGCCAGGAGCAGCUCCCUAAUCUACAUACUACAGAUCUAUCCACAAGAAGACAGAUGGAACCACUCUUUUCUUCUGAAUUCUAGAACCUUAAGGAAGUUAACCUGAGUGGCUCAGCUUGGAUCAAGUGCCCAUCCUGGUCCAAACAACUGUAGCAGCACAUCUGUGUAUUUGUGUAUCUUGUUCCUCCAUAAUCUUGCAGUCCGGGGAAAGUGUGCAGAUGGAUGGGUCCCUGAAAAGCAAGAGUUGUUUAGACAACGCUAGAGGUGUUCAGUUCUGGGAGACAAGAGUUGGGCCAGGUUGAUAACUAGCCUAAGAGAGUCGGAAUCAGAUGAAUAAGAACUAGAUCUUGGGUGACAACCUAGAUCAAGAGUCUUGAGGUUCAGUCAUUUCAAAAAGCUCAAGUCUCAUUGCUUCUUGGCCUUCUGGCUAAGAUCAUGUGCAGUAUCUGUUCUUACCAGUUUAAUAUCUGAUACAUCCUCUAUCUGAGGAUAAUAUAAUAAAUAGAUUUUUGGAGCAAGGAGAUGGAAUAGGAGCUUGCUCUGUCCACUCUACACAUUGGCCUGGAUUGCAGUACCUCCAGGAAUGGUGCACCCUCUCUACCACCCCCAAAAAGCCCAAGUCUCAAGAGGUAGUCUGGAAAAAAGUGUUUUUGGAUUUACCUACAUUUUUUUUUCCAAGAUGGAGUCUCGCUCUGUCACCCAGGCUGGAGUGCAGUGGCGCCAUCUUGGCUCACUGUAACCUCUGCCUCCAGGAUUCAAGCAGUUCUCCUGCCUCAGUCUCCCAAGUAGCUGGGAUUACAGGUGUGUGCCAACCAUGCUCAGCUAAUUUUUCUAUUUUUAGUAGAGACAGGGUUUCACCAUGUUGGCCAGGCAGGUCUCAAAGUCCUGACCUCAGGUGAUCUGCCUGCCUUGGCCUCCCGAAGUGCUAAGAUUACAGGCGUGAGCCACUGCGCCCGGCCUAAUUUUUGUAAUUUUAGUAGAGACGAGUUUUCACCAUGUUGACCAGGCUGGUCUCGAACUCCUGACCUCAGGUGAUCCACCCCCGCCCUCGGCCUCCCAAAGUGCUGGCACUACAGGCAUGAGCCACCGCUCCUGGCCGGGUUUGCCUACAUUUUGGAGAUGCUGCACACCAUGUCCCUCUUUUCAAGAGUCACGUAAGUAUUUACAUAUGGAAGACCCUGAGAAGGCACCUGGGAAAAAACCUGUUUAACUGUAAAUAUAAUAAUGUAUGUAUUUGUAUGUGGAGCUCUUCUUUUAGUGGAUUAUCUAUAAACCGUCCACUGUUCCCAAUGCAUACUUUGGAGACAGACCUACACUACCAGUUUUCACCUGCUAGUUAUUUUUAUAAGGGUUGGGAUGGUCCAUGAGUGAACAGUCUUGAUUUAAAGCAGUGUUUCCCAAACCUCAUUUAUUUGCCUAUAGCCUUCCUGGAGUUUGUCUUAUAUGUCCGCUCUGUGCACUAUUCCUAUAUGUUUUUAUGUAAAUCAAUCACUUUUUUAAAAAGCCUCAUCCCAGUUAUAUCCUUAAAACAAUGGUUAUUUUUUCUCAUACACAUCGAAAUACAUAUCUAUUAGAAUUAAAAUGCUUGUCCAUGCACUAUCAAUAAUCUCCUCAAGUACCAUAUGGUGGGGACAUGUGUUUGAAGUGUUAGGAGUCAGGAGUGGUCUCUGUAAGACAGAGUAAGUCAGUCAACCUCUGAGCACUGCCAGCCACACAUGCUGGCAGAGAAGUUCAGCCUGUGACAAGACUGCCCGGAUAUUUCCAUGUCUGUGCACGGGGAUGUCCUCGGUCUGCCAUUGUGAAGUCUGUGCUGUUUUCAUGCCUACCUAGUCUUCUUUGGAGGGGCCUGGAAAGCAAAUGCAGGCUGGGUACAGUGGCUCAUGCCUGUAAUCCCAGCACUUUGGGAGGCAAAGGUGGGCAGAUCACGAGGUCAGGAGUUUGAGACCAG